UGCAGGGUGGAAAAGUUGGUAAUUCGCUUGAUUCAUAAUCAAGAGGCCGUCGGUUCGAGUCCGACCCCUGCAUCCA
RNAcentral lists this transfer RNA (76 nucleotides) under uncultured Gammaproteobacteria bacterium. RNAcentral describes it as "tRNA-Met-CAT". It matches the Rfam family "tRNA". From Rfam's summary of the family: Transfer RNA (tRNA) molecules are approximately 80 nucleotides in length. Their secondary structure includes four short double-helical elements and three loops (D, anti-codon, and T loops). Lineage: Bacteria; Pseudomonadati; Pseudomonadota; Gammaproteobacteria. The record is from RNAcentral.